GGCAGCAGUGAGGAAUUUUCUGCAAUGGGCGAAAGCCUGACAGAGCAAUACCGCGUGAGGCAUGAAGGCCUACGGGUUGUAAACCUCUUUUUUCAAGGAGGAAGAUCUGACGUUACUUGAAGAAUAAGCAUCGGCUAACCCUGUGCCAGCAGCCGCGGUAAUACAGGCGAUGCAAGUGUUAUCCGGAAUCAUUGGGCGUAAAGCGUCUGCAGGUUGAUCUCUAAGUCUUUUGUUAAAUCUUUGGGCUUAACCUGAAAUCUGCAAAGGAAAGUAUAGAUCUUGAGUAUAGUAGAGGGAAAGGGAAUUUUCAGUGGAGCGGUGAAAUGCGUAGAUAUUGGAAAGAACACCAACAGCGAAGGCACUUUCCUGGGCUAUUACUGACACUCAGAGACGAAAGCUAGGGGAGCAAACAGGAUUAGAUACCCUGGUAGU
RNAcentral lists this ribosomal RNA (432 nucleotides) under uncultured bacterium. RNAcentral describes it as "bacterial SSU rRNA". It matches the Rfam family "Bacterial small subunit ribosomal RNA", at positions 347 to 794 of the family's 1533-position model. The record is from RNAcentral.